Molecule: long non-coding RNA, 219 nt
Filed under: Capsicum annuum
Lineage: Eukaryota; Viridiplantae; Streptophyta; Magnoliopsida; Solanales; Solanaceae
Description: long non-coding RNA (CANN_LNC007005)
Source: RNAcentral
UAGUUUUGGUAGUGAGCUACAUAGUAUGAGGUGUUCCAUUAUAAAGUAUUUGAUAAACUGAUUUUUAUUGAUGUUCUUUUAUUUUAAUUGCCGGGGGUCUAUCGAAAACAACCUCUCUACUUCUUCGGGGGUAGCGGUAUGGACUGUGUACAUUUUACCCUCCCUAGAUACACUGGGCUUCUUGUUGUUGUUGUUCUAUUUCAAUUGGUCUGCUUCUAA